Molecule: ribosomal RNA, 559 nt
Filed under: uncultured bacterium
Lineage: Bacteria
Description: partial 16S ribosomal RNA
Rfam family: Bacterial small subunit ribosomal RNA
Source: RNAcentral
UGGGGAAUUUUGGACAAUGGGGGAAACCCUGAUCCAGCCAUCCCGCGUGUGCGAUGAAGGCCUUCGGGUUGUAAAGCACUUUUGGCAGGAAAGAAACGUCGCGGGUUAAUACCCCGCGAAACUGACGGUACCUGCAGAAUAAGCACCGGCUAACUACGUGCCAGCAGCCGCGGUAAUACGUAGGGUGCAAGCGUUAAUCGGAAUUACUGGGCGUAAAGCGUGCGCAGGCGGUUCGGAAAGAAAGAUGUGAAAUCCCAGAGCUUAACUUUGGAACUGCAUUUUUAACUACCGGGCUAGAGUGUGUCAGAGGGAGGUGGAAUUCCGCGUGUAGCAGUGAAAUGCGUAGAUAUGCGGAGGAACACCGAUGGCGAAGGCAGCCUCCUGGGAUAACACUGACGCUCAUGCACGAAAGCGUGGGGAGCAAAACAGGAUUAGAUACCCUGGUAGUCCACGCCCUAAACGAUGUCAACUAGCUGUUGGGGCCUUCGGGCCUUGGUAGCGCAGCUAACGCGUGAAGUUGACCGCCUGGGGAGUACGGUCGCAAGAUUAAAAACUCAAA